GAAGAGCCUAGAUGAUUUUACUACUACGAUACUAAGAGUUAUUAUAGAUUUUUAUCUCUUACGAGUAAUAUUAUUUGGCAACUAAAAAUAUACCUAGCCAUUUGUGUAUGGAAAUUUUACACUGUUACGUCUUAAAAAAAUUCAAUUUUUUCUCUUUCUGUGCACGCUUUGGCUGCUGCUUUAUGUAUGAAGAUUUACCUGGUAGGGCUGAAUCAGCUGUUCGACAUUCACAUUGAAAAGGUUGUAUUUUAUUCCUUGUGGUUUGAAAAAAUGCACCUUCUUAAUCCUUUAUAUUGUACAAUCAUUUAGUAUAAAUUAUACUCUAUUUUGGAGAUCAACAAGCCAGGUUUUCCAUUGGUAGCUAGGCGAUUUUCAGUAGCAACUGGAGUAUUCUUAGUGGUCACAUUCCUGAUCAUGGUAUAUUAGGUUCAACAUAAUGGUGUUAUGGUGUGGAAAAUAUGGCUGAAGUCUAAAUACUUAAGUGUUGUUGUUUUCAGAGCUUUAGCUUUGGAAUCUGUUUCGGAUCGGUGCCACUGACGUGUGCUUUAAUUAUCAGCUUCCUUCUUGGAAGUGUUCCAUUGAGGCUCCGAUGCUCCGGUGGGAACGACACACACUCCUCGCUGCAUCUUGUAUCCUAUUUGUGAGGGCUAUCAUGGUCCAAUUGGCUUUCUUUGCACAUAUGCAGUGACAUGUUCUGAAAAGGCCCUUGGCAGCAACAAAAUGACUGGUGUUUGCAACAUUGUCCUGUGUUGGUUCUCUGCCGUCAUAGCUAUAUUCAAGGUGUAUCAGCUUUGCAGUGGAGCAUGUUGUUCGUCGUGGGUCGAACUGAGGCCAAGACUGAUGAGUUGAUGGCGAGAACAAACUACUA
Molecule: long non-coding RNA, 868 nt
Organism: Triticum dicoccoides
Lineage: Eukaryota; Viridiplantae; Streptophyta; Magnoliopsida; Poales; Poaceae
Exons: 5
Source: RefSeq, a predicted model, not a curated record